This 253-nucleotide ribosomal RNA is filed under the name uncultured bacterium. RNAcentral's name for it is "partial 16S ribosomal RNA". It matches the Rfam family "Bacterial small subunit ribosomal RNA", at positions 524 to 776 of the family's 1533-position model. The record is from RNAcentral.
UACGUAGGGCGCAAGCGUUAUCCGGAAUUAUUGGGCGUAAAGAGCUCGUAGGCGGUUUGUCGCGUCUGCCGUGAAAGUCCGGGGCUCAACUCCGCGCCUGCAGUGGGUACGGGCAGACUAGAGUGCAGUAGGGGAGACUGGAAUUCCUGGUGUAGCGGUGGAAUGCGCAGAUAUCAGGAGGAACACCGGUGGCGAAGGCGGUUCUCUGGGCAUGUCCUGACGCUGAGGAGCGAAAGUGUGGGGAGCGAACAGG